This 303-nucleotide long non-coding RNA is filed under the name Trifolium pratense (red clover). RNAcentral's name for it is "long non-coding RNA (TPRA_LNC006918)". The record is from RNAcentral. Lineage: Eukaryota; Viridiplantae; Streptophyta; Magnoliopsida; Fabales; Fabaceae.
UAGCAGUGAUAGUAUAUAUGGACAUAUCUCUAUAAAUUGUUGCAUGCAAAAAUGAACUAAUACAACAAAAAUUGAAUAUAAUUAACUUGUUAACAAACAAACAAUUCUAGUUGUUUCUUUCUUUUGAUCAAACAAUGGCUUAUGUUAAGCUCGCUAUUUUCGCUGUCUUCCUGCUUACCGCAUUCCGUAUGUAUAUUUUAACUUCCUAUUUAUAUAUUCAUCUUUACUUUCUCACCAAUAUAUAUAUACCGUAAUUUUUUAUAGGGGUUCAUAUAAAUUAAUUUGUACGUAUUUGUACCUUCC